GCGGCGUUGGUCUAGCGGUAGGAUUUAGGCUUCCCAAGCCUGAUGCGCGGGUUCGAUUCCCGCACGCCGCACCA
This 74-nucleotide transfer RNA is filed under the name Nitrososphaerota archaeon. RNAcentral describes it as "tRNA-Gly". It matches the Rfam family "tRNA". From Rfam's summary of the family: Transfer RNA (tRNA) molecules are approximately 80 nucleotides in length. Their secondary structure includes four short double-helical elements and three loops (D, anti-codon, and T loops). The record is from RNAcentral. Lineage: Archaea; Thermoproteati; Nitrososphaerota.